GACGAACGCUGGCGGCGUGCUUAACACAUGCAAGUCGAACGGAAAGGCCCUGCUUUUGUGGGGUGCUCGAGUGGCGAACGGGUGAGUAACACGUGAGUAACCUGCCCUUGACUUUGGGAUAACUUCAGGAAACUGGGGCUAAUACCUGAUAGGAGCUCCUGCUGCAUGGGGGGGGUUGGAAAGUUUCGGCGGUUGGGGAUGGACUCGCGGCUUAUCAGCUUGUUGGUGGGGUAGUGGCUUACCAAGGCUUUGACGGGUAGCCGGCCUGAGAGGGUGACCGGCCACAUUGGGACUGAGAUACGGCCCAGACUCCUACGGGAGGCAGCAGUGGGGAAUAUUGCACAAUGGGCGGAAGCCUGAUGCAGCAACGCCGCGUGCGGGAUGAAGGCCUUCGGGUUGUAAACCGCUUUCGCCUGUGACGAAGCGUGAGUGACGGUAAUGGGUAAAGAAGCACCGGCUAACUACGUG
RNAcentral lists this ribosomal RNA (468 nucleotides) under uncultured bacterium. RNAcentral's name for it is "partial 16S ribosomal RNA". It matches the Rfam family "Bacterial small subunit ribosomal RNA", at positions 28 to 507 of the family's 1533-position model. The record is from RNAcentral.